UUCUUCUCUGACUCACUCUACCUCAGUCAGGACUCUCUCCUCACUUUCUGCAAAGAUACAGCUACUGUUUCUCUUUCACUUGAAUCUCCUCAUGGAAUCUCUUCCCUCUGCCUUGCUUUUAAGCACCAGGAUUCUUUAGAGGCCUUUCUCAGUUUCCUUGUUCUCAUUUUGUACAAUAUUAAAAAAAUUGUCUAUUUCUAUGGUCUCUAGUACUCCCUCCAGCUGAAGAUUUUUCAAGUCUGUAUUUUCAGCUCAGACCUCCAAGGUAAGUUUCAGAUCUCUGGAUUCAACAGCUUCGGUAAGUAACUACCGUUAUCUGAACCCUAUGAGUUCCAAACUAAGUUUAUAAUAAUUCCCUCUUCCAAAACUUCUCCUUUGCUACUGGGAACUGAAGCCAGGGCCUUGCAGUUGCUAGGCAAGAGCUCUGAUAUGAAGUGUACUGCAUAUCCAGCCCCUCCUUGAUUGUCUUUCUCAUGAUAUUCCAUCUAACAACUUUCAAUUUCCCCCACCAGAAACUGGGUUUCAUGUGGACCUCAUCCACCCUCUCUGCUUCUAAUCAAUCUUCAGGUUCUCUUGAUUCCAUUUUCCAGAAGUGGCUCUCAGAUCCAUCCACUUCUCUUCAUUCCCACUGCCAGCACCUCCUAGGCUGGCAUCAGCUUUCAACCAGAUCUGGGUAAUGCAAUGGCUUUCUAAAGUACCCUGCAUUCCGUGUCAUGCUUCCAUCCAUUCUCAACACCAUGAAACUAAUCCUGCUAGCACGACUGAAUUCUUCAGUGGUCCCAAUGCCGCGGGAUAAAAUCUACAAUCUCUAGCAAGGGCUAUAAAGCACUCCAUAAACACUCUAGGCUGGUCCAGCCUGAACGUUUUUAUGUACCGUUAGUGGUCCAUGUUCCCGUCAUUCAAAAACUACGUUGUAUUGAUCAAACAUGCUCUGGGCUUAAACUAGAGCUUUUUAGACAAGCUGUCGUUGCCAAAGACACUUUAUGCCUCCUCUGCCCCUUCACUUUUAGCUCUCUGCCUGUUGUGUUUUCUUUAAUUCAGCAUAUAUCCCACUGUCCAAUAAACCCAUCCUAACUCCCAAGGGUAGGAGCCUAGAGGUGUUCCUCUUGUAUACUCCCUCUUUCUCCUCUUUGUGCUGCUGUUCCUGGCUUACUUGUCUGUUUCCCUACAACCCCAGAGCUCCGUAAAGUAGGGUUGUGUCAGUUUUGUUAAACUCGUAUCCUUGUUGCCUAGCACAGUUUCUGGUUCAAUAAAUAUUUCCUGAAUGAAAGAAUCUAAGGGACAGUGGGUAACAGCCAAACCGAGGAAGCAUGGAUUGCUUUAUGGUGCUAGACUAGAGAGCUAGAGAGCUGGACCUGCUGGCAAGAAGAGGCCCGUGCGUCCCACCUGUGUGGUGCUGAGCUUGGGACUGACAGAGCCGGUGCAGGGCCAGAGGCUUUGAAACAGAUGGUACGAAGGUGUGAUGGAGUUGUAAGAGCUUGCGGGGCGCAGUGUGUGGAGGCGAGCGACCUGUGUAGAAGCCGGGGAAGUGCUGCCAGGGUUCUCGGUUGGUGUUAUGAGGUGCAUGAGAAAGGCUCAGGGAGGCACCCACCUCUGGUCCCGGUUCCGCGGAGGCGAGGGGGCUCGCAGCUGAGGUUGCCGGCAUGACUGGUGUUGAGAACCGGGACCCCCGGGCGGCACCCGGGCUCCUGUACGCUGCGGUUCAGCUUGAGCAGAUCCAUGGCCCUGUGAAGUCCCACUCAGCUCCGCCAAGCCGGCUCCAGCGCCGGUUCCACCUGCUCCCGCAGCGCGGGUGGCUCAGGUUCCCGCCCACCGCCCUGCCCGCCCCUCCCGGUUCCCGCCCUCUGCCCCGGCCCCUCCACUGCCCUUGCAGCCUGCCCCUGGUUCCAGCAGGUCCCAGGCUCUGAGCGGCUUUUGUCCCACCAGGUGACACUUGGCGCGCCUCCUCCGCUCCAGAGUUCCGCGCGCGCUGCUGGGUGACUGCUCUCCAGGCUCGCCCCCGCGUUAGGUUCUCCUGUCUUCUCUCAGAGAUGUCUUUUCUGCCCACCUCUCGAAUCAAUGCCCCUAUCUCUGUGUGUGUGUGUGUGUGUGUGUGUGUGUGUGUACGAGUGUGCGCGCGCGGGCACACACACACACACACACACACACACACACACACACACGGGCAUCUGCGCGCGCUCCUGCGGGAGGAGAUGACAUGAUGGGGGCGGGGGGCCGUGAGUAACUGCUGUAGGGUCCAGCAUUUUUCUUUGGUGGUUUAGAAGACGUGGAGGUGGCGGUGGUGAUCCGGUUUGCAUCCCGGGUUCCCCGCUACAGAGCAGGUGCCUGAGCCCGCCUGGAGCCGCAGUUACCCUGCUCUGCCGCAGUGGCCCCAGCGACCCCCUCAGUAUCACCACUACCUUAGCUCCUUGCAGCUCUUUGGUGAGGGCUGGAGUAGCCCUGCCUCGGCACACCCCACCUCCUAUGAGAAACCCAAAACCCGGGCUUCUGCUCCGAGGCCUCCAACAAGGUCCCGGAGGGCCUCUUGCUCACAACGGAGACUGUACAAGGGAAAGGGCUGACUCGAGCUGAGAGUGGGCUCAGGCACUGGGGGCGGCCGGAAAUGCAAGUGAGAACUGCAUUUCUCACUUGCAGUGAGAAAUGAACCCAGUUGAGGUGUAGCAGGGUUAGUCUAGCCCUGGCCUUACCCGGGGGAAAGAUAGGGAGCAAGGCAGCUUGGUCGGCUCCCUCGGCUGGUCUCUAGGCAGCAUCCACCAGCCCCUGAAACGCUGAUGCUCUCUGUUUGCCCUCAGCACAAGGGCAGCACCCGUGUGCAGCGCUGGGUUCCCACGAGAGGGGGUGGAAGAGGGCUGGGUCUCUAGGAUGCGGCGGGCAGGAAUAAAGCUGGAAGGUGCAUGCGGUGAGCAAGACUGAGGCGGACUCGGCUUCCUGAGGCAGGACAGGCCUCCUCUACUUCAGCCUUCUUUCUUCCACUCUUCCCCAUUCCAAAGAAAUUCCAGCAUGAUGCGAAAUAUCAUCUUUUGGGCUCCCAAAGAGGUGGGGAGGGCGCGUCCGAGGAGCAAGAGAGAACUGGAGUUGGGUGGAGUCUGGCUAUAUGGGGAAUUCAGAAUUAGCAUCCCAUGGCCGUUUUGGAAAGGAUCUGCCUGAUCAGUCAGCGCUGACAGGUUCCUGAGGGCUGAAGCACUGGAGAAAGGGUUAAACCGGGAUGUCAUCACCGACUCCCUCCCGCUUGCUUCGUUGUCUCCCUUGCUCUUUUGAGAGCCCUGGAUCAGUGGAACUUGAUGUGCUGUUUGUUCAGCCUCAGCACAGGUGGCCUCUCUGAUAAUCCGAUGAACUUUUCCCACAUUGGACGAUGGUAGCACCGAGGAACGAGGGGGCAAAGGCAAUGGAGGAGGGAGGAAGGAGAUGUAGAUUGCGUUCACUCAUCCAGCAAACCACGUAGCUGUCAAUUUCGGGACUGUGUGCCACUUUCCCACGCAGUGAGUCUGCCCCUGAAGAGCUCCCACUGCAGUGGGGAUUUUACCGGAUAAGCCAGAGACUGCAAAUUCAACUGGGAAGAUGUGCAGAUCGAAAAAUUAGGACUCAGGGCUGGAGAGCUGGUAUUAAGAGCGCUUGCUGCUCCUGCAGAGGACCCGGGCUUGUUCCCAGCGCUGACCAGAUGAUGGGAUGAGAUGAGUGCUGUACCCAAGAUUUACAAAUUCAUGAUUUGGGCUGAGCCCAGAGCAUUUCUAACAAACUAUCCCUAGGCCUAGGUUUGGAAGCUUCUAGCCUUCAUACAAUCUAAUCUUCUGCAAGUUCGGGCAUGAAGACUUCAGCUUCCCACCUCCUUCUGCUAACCACUGUUGAACAAGCUCAUCUUUUCUAGUUCUCGCUGAACUAUGGCUGCCUGGUUUAAUUCAGCUGUUACGGCUCAAAACUCCUCUCUGGGCUGACUGAUUCAAACUGGUAUCUCUCUGCUGUUUACUGAAUUGCUCUGAUUGGAAAAACGGUCUCUGGAUUCCACCAACUGGAUUACACCAACUCAACUGAACUGCACCAAACCUCACUGAACUGUACUACACUCCCAAACUUCACUGUGCUGUCGUCUCCAACUCUCCUGCUCUCUUUCUGCACUGCUCUUAAAUAAAUUCUCUCCCCUUUCUGUUUUCCCAAGAA
This is a long non-coding RNA of Meriones unguiculatus (Mongolian gerbil), 4155 nucleotides long. RefSeq lists it as uncharacterized. Lineage: Eukaryota; Metazoa; Chordata; Mammalia; Rodentia; Muridae. The transcript is spliced from 3 exons. The record is from RefSeq and is a predicted model, not a curated record.